Molecule: ribosomal RNA, 585 nt
Filed under: uncultured bacterium
Lineage: Bacteria
Description: bacterial SSU rRNA
Rfam family: Bacterial small subunit ribosomal RNA
Source: RNAcentral
CCUACGGGAGGCAGCAGUGGGGAAUUUUGGACAAUGGGCGCAAGCCUGAUCCAGCCAUGCCGCGUGCGGGAAGAAGGCCUUCGGGUUGUAAACCGCUUUUGGCAGGAACGAAACGGUGCGAGCGAAUAUCUCGCGUUAAUGACGGUACCUGCAGAAUAAGCACCGGCUAACUACGUGCCUGCAGCCGCGGUAAUACGUAGGGUGCAAGCGUUAAUCGGAAUUACUGGGCGUAAAGCGUACGCAGGCGGCUUUGCAAGACAGGUGUGAAAUCCCCGGGCCUAACCUGGGAACUGCAUUUGUGACUGCAUGGCUAGAGUUUGUCAGAGGGGGGUGGAAUUCCACGUGUAGCAGUGAAAUGCGUAGAUAUGUGGAGGAACACCGAUGGCGAAGGCAGCCCCCUGGGAUGUGACUGACGCUCAUGUACGAAAGCGUGGGGAGCAAACAGGAUUAGAUACCCUGGUAGUCCACGCCCUAAACGAUGUCGACUAGUUGUCGGAGGGUAACUCCUUCGGUAACGCAGCUAACGCGUGAAGUCGACCGCCUGGGGAGUACGGUCGCAAGAUUAAAACUCAAAGGAAUUGACGG